Molecule: ribosomal RNA, 1205 nt
Filed under: human gut metagenome
Description: bacterial LSU rRNA
Rfam family: Bacterial large subunit ribosomal RNA
Source: RNAcentral
GGAAGAGAGAAUGCCGGUGUGAGUAGCGGAACGUGGGUGAGAAUCCCACGCACCGAAUACCCAAGGUUUCCAGAGGAAGGUUCGUCCGCUCUGGGUAAGUCGGGACCUAAGGCGAGGCCGAAAGGCGUAGUCGAUGGACAACGGGUGGAGAUUCCCGUACCUGAUGAAGAGGCAAUGGAGUGACGGAGCAGGCUAGGCGAUCCAGCUGCUGGAAUAGCUGGUGCAAGCGAGGUAGGGGACAUCCAGGCAAAUCCGGAUGUUGAAACCCGAAGGCGUGACGCGUAUGGAACAUUACGAUAAGUACAGAAGUCGCCGAAGCAAGCUUCCAAGAAAAGCUUCUAGCAAUCAACUCUUUGUCAGCCCGUACCGAAAAUGGACACACAUGGGUGAGGAGAGAAUCCUAAGGUGAGCGAGAGAACUAUAGCUAAGGAACUCUGCAAAAUGACUCCGUAACUUCGGGAGAAGGAGUGCUCAUUGAGAGAUGAGCCGCAGUAAAACGGCCCAAGCGACUGUUUACCAAAAACACAGCUCUCUGCCAAGACGCAAGUCGAAGUAUAGGGGGUGACGCCUGCCCGGUGCUGGAAGGUUAAGAGGAGUGGUCAGCGCAAGCGAAGCCAUGAAUUGAAGCCCCAGUAAACGGCGGCCGUAACUAUAACGGUCCUAAGGUAGCGAAAUUCCUUGUCAGGUAAGUUCUGACCCGCACGAAAGGCGUAACGAUUUGGGCGCUGUCUCAGCUGUAGACUCGGUGAAGUCUUAGUACCUGUGAAGAUGCAGGUUACCCGCGACUAGACGGAAAGACCCCAUGGAGCUUUACUGUAGCUUGAUAUUGGAUUUUGAUGCAUGAUGUACAGGAUAGGUAGGAGACGAAGAGACGGAUACGCCAGUAUUCGAGGAGUCGCCGUUGGGAUACUACCCUUCAUGUAUUGAAGUUCUAACCGGACGCCAUAAGCUGGCGACGGGACAGUGUCAGGUGGGCAGUUUGACUGGGGCGGUCGCCUCCCAAAGAGUAACGGAGGCGCCCAAAGAUACCCUCAGCAUGGUUGGAAAUCAUGCGUAGAGUGCAAAGGCAAAAGGGUGUUUGACUGCGAGACCAACAAGUCGAGCAGGGACGAAAGUCGGGCUUAGUGAUCCGGCGGUGCCGAAUGGAAGGGCCGUCGCUCAACGGAUAAAAGCUACCCUGGGGAUAACAGGCUGAUCUCCCCCAA